AGGUCACCAUGGUAUCUUGUGUACAUGGAUCUAUAUUUUGGUUCACCACCUAGCUUGAUUCUUUGAUCCUUAUGUGGGGUGUUCUGGAUAUGGUGAAGUAUGUAUGGAGGUUGUGAGUGAUUAAUAAAAGAUCAGUCACUCCUAAUAAGGAGAGCAAACAUCCUAUGUGAUCUCAUAGGACGAUGAUUCUGAAAGUUUUUGGCCAAAAUAGGAUGAUAAUUAGAAAAAGAUUUCUAAUAUAUCAUCAACUGAAUCAUCACUUUUAGAUUGAGAUACAUAAAGAUAAGUGAUUG
RNAcentral lists this long non-coding RNA (293 nucleotides) under Elaeis guineensis (African oil palm). RNAcentral's name for it is "long non-coding RNA (EGUI_LNC071300)". Lineage: Eukaryota; Viridiplantae; Streptophyta; Magnoliopsida; Arecales; Arecaceae. The record is from RNAcentral.